This 2865-nucleotide unclassified non-coding RNA is filed under the name Hevea brasiliensis (rubber tree). The record is from RNAcentral. Lineage: Eukaryota; Viridiplantae; Streptophyta; Magnoliopsida; Malpighiales; Euphorbiaceae.
GAAAAAACAAUGCUUUGGAGCCCAGAUUUUAGUAAAUUAGCGUAGAUGCCAGCUAUCAACAUCAUUAAUGCUAUAAAACAACAUACCAAACAAGAUAUUUUUACCAAAAAUAUAUUACAGUGCCACACAUGUUACAAAAAGAAGCCAGUGAGCACAGGCAUAAUUAUCAGGUUUCUUUUAACUCAAGUCAGAAUAGUUACUGAUUAUACAAUAAUAACAAUAAUAAUAAUAGGCAAACAGACAAGGCUCCUCCGCUAACCACUCUCCCCAAAAAAGCAUUAUUUCUCUGUAACCACGUGUGGUUACAAUGCAGAAACCACCAUCAAUGAAGAAAUGGAGUCAUCACUUCACCUGCCUCCCAAUAUUUGCACUCAUAAGUAACUGCAUUCAUCUGCACUCUCCAAGAUCUGAUCAAUUACCAUAUGAAGAUACCAAAACAUUAUGUUCAUUCAGAUGCCUCUGAAAUUGAGCCAGACGAGUCUGCAGUUGUAGAAUUCCUGCAGCCUUCUGUGCAAGAAUCGCAUUUAACUUGGAGAUAUAAUCAUCCAGCUGAUUGCCUGGUUGAUCAGCUUCAACUAGCAAGUUCAUCUCCUCCCUAACAAUAUCAAUUGUCUCCUCCACUUGUUUACGGUGGGCAGAUACAAGAUCUUCUUCUUCCUUCAACAGGGCAUUCAGAUGAUUAUCAUCUGAGUGAGAAUUAUUUGCCAAAAAGUGUGGGACAUCUCUCCUUUUCAUUGGAGCAUCAUUUCUGCGCUUAUCCUCCAAAGCUGAAAUUUCAUAGCUUUCUGCUUUAUUAUUGUUCAUCCAUAAUGGUUUUUCUUGUUCAAAAGCUUCCUUUGUGUAAUCAAAAUCAUCCUCAGCAAUGCCGUUUUGACCACCUGUCUGGGAUUUGUAAUAAUCUGAAUACACGGAUGCAGCUGCAUGUCCCUCUGCCCUGCCACUUGGAACACGAUCCAAAUUAACCGUCGGAGAUGUUUCCCUUUCUGUUGGUUUAGCCCAUGCAAACAUGUUCUUUCCAUUGGGAACAUCAGCUAUGUUAUCAUCAAAGGUUGCUUCAUUAGGCAAAGCUGAUGUCAAAGGCAAUGCCGUUGAGUCUCUAAGGUUUGAAGAAGACAAUGGAUCCCGUUUGGAGUUGUUCCCUUUUGAAAGACUCUUCACCCUAUCAGCAUAUCUUAGUGUAUUAAGAGUGUGUUCACAUGAUCCUGAGCUUGGUGAAAUACAUGAUAUCAUAACAGUGCGUGAGUCACCAACGAACGAAUCUCUAAGAACUUCAGUCAGCUUACUCCCUCUGAAGGGAAUGUGACCCUGGUCACUGUCAAGAGCUCUAAUGCAUUCUUUCAAAGCCAGUAAGCUCUUGUUAAUUUCAGCACCUUCCAUUCUGUAAAGAUGUAAAAGCAAUUACUUGCUCUCUUAAAUGCUAAAACAUUUUGAGACAUCAGUAUUUAAUGAUGACCAAACGUAAAAUACACAGAGAAAAGAUUAGAUCAUUUAUGAGCAUUGCAUGGGUCACAUGCAAUGUAACACAGAAGGUCUGAGGGGAGCACAAUAAGCACAGAGAGUUUCAAGGAGAGAGAGAGGGGAGGGGGAACCACCUAAUCCAAUCAAUCCCCACCUCGUUUGUUUGUCAUUAUCAGUAGUAUCUGCACCGCGCUCACUUCCAGCCAGAUCUAUGAAAGACAACUUUCCUACAAGUCGAGCAGGCUUUGAUUCAGAACCAUCAACUGAUCUCUUGAUGGCAAGCUGAAGUAUAGCAUGUGAUCGAGAGGAUUCCUCAUUCGCACCAGUUGUACCAGUGCUUCUAGUGGCAUUUCCUUUCUCAAUGAACUCCCUGAUUGCCUCAACAUCUGAUACUCUGAAUUCCUGCAAACCCACAAUGCACACUUGUUGUUUCCCAUCUUCCCUCAUACAAAGCUUUUUCCGAUCAUUGAGGAGAUCAAAAAGCUUCCCUCCAUAUAUCUCAAAGAAACUGACAAACAAUUGAAAUCCCUGGUUCCUGUACAUGUGGUGCAUUAGUCUUAAUAUAUCUUGGGAAGCUUUGAGAGGCAAUGGUUGCAUGGUAUAAGUCUUUCCACUCCCUGUUUGCCCAUAUGCAAAGCAGGUUGCUUUUGUUCUAUGGAAAAUUAGAGGAACUAUGGGCUCCACAGUCUCAGAGUACACUUCAUCAUUUGAAACACCUUCAUUCAGCACAGCAUCAAAAACAAAUUCAUGUUUCUCCACAUAUUCUGUUAGGUCAACUUUAAGUUUGGUUUCAUGAACCAUGAGAGCAUUGGAAUUUGGCUCUAUGGUAAUAAUAUCUUCCUCUUUCUUUGAUGUUUCCUUCUUAUUUAAUGGUCUCUUGCGUACCACGACUUUGAUCUUUGCAACAUUGUUGGCUCUUUCUUUGUCCCCUAAGAAACUUUUAAGAAAGUUAUUCUCAGGCAAAUUUCGGGCUUUGCUUGUCAGUUUGCUGGCUGCAAGAUAAGAUUCGAAGUCAUCAAAACUUUUACCACGAGCAGGUUGAUUAUGCAAGUAUCCCUCAUGUAGGCUGGGAACGGACACCUCAGGCAAUAGCUCAGUAUCAAAAGAAUGCAGAUCGAGCAAGCCAGGGCUGAGCUCACUCGGCGACACGUAAUCAUCGCCAAUCUUCCUCAUACUCGAUGACCGCGAACAAACCGGAGGCGUCAACGGGUCCAUUGACAGCAUGCUCCGGUUCAUCCUUGAGCCGUAUCCGAAGUCCUGCGAAGCCGAUUGAAGCCAUCUGCCAUUGUCAAGGAAAUUAUCGGAAUACUGCCGGUGGUGAUGCGCCGUCGAACUGGAUCUCGACAUUUGUCUCCCUGCCACAUUCAUCUUCAAUUCAAAAAUAUCUCCCUCUCUCUCUCUCUCUCU